Molecule: ribosomal RNA, 468 nt
Filed under: uncultured bacterium
Lineage: Bacteria
Description: partial 16S ribosomal RNA
Rfam family: Bacterial small subunit ribosomal RNA
Source: RNAcentral
GACGAACGCUGGCGGCGUGCUUAACACAUGCAAGUCGAACGGACAGGCCCUGCUUUUGUGGGGUGCUCGAGUGGCGAACGGGUGAGUAACACGUGAGUAACCUGCCCUUGACUUUGGGAUAACUUCAGGAAACUGGGGCUAAUACCGGAUAGGAGCUCCUGCUGCAUGGUGGGGGUUGGAAAGUUUCGGCGGUUGGGGAUGGACUCGCGGCUUAUCAGCUUGUUGGUGGGGUAGUGGCUUACCAAGGCUUUGACGGGUAGCCGGCCUGAGAGGGUGACCGGCCACAUUGGGACUGAGAUACGGCGCAGUCUCCAACGGGAGGCAGCGGUGGAGAAUAUUGCACAAUGGGCGGAAGCCUGAUGCAGCAACGCCGCGUGCGGGAUAACGGCCUUCGGGUUGUAAACCGCUUUCGCCUGUGACGAAGCGUGAGUGACGGUAAUGGGUAAAGAAGCACCGGCUAACUACGUG